UUCUUAGUUUUGGAGUGCGUGUCAGUUGUGCAUUUACAUGGAAUUUCCGUUUAUUUCGAAGGGAUCAUGCAUUGCAAGCUGUAAAUGCACUAUCUGGUACGCACCAGAAAAACUAAAAGU
RNAcentral lists this microRNA precursor (120 nucleotides) under Belgica antarctica. RNAcentral describes it as "microRNA mir-277". It matches the Rfam family "mir-277 microRNA precursor family". The record is from RNAcentral. Lineage: Eukaryota; Metazoa; Arthropoda; Insecta; Diptera; Chironomidae.